Molecule: ribosomal RNA, 301 nt
Filed under: uncultured bacterium
Lineage: Bacteria
Description: partial 16S ribosomal RNA
Rfam family: Bacterial small subunit ribosomal RNA
Source: RNAcentral
CAGCCGCCGCGGUAAUACAGAGGGUGCGAGCGUUAAUCGGAUUUACUAGGCGUAAAGCGUGCGUAGGCGGCUUUUUAAGUCGGAUGUGAAAUCCCUGAGCUUAACUUAGGAAUUGCAUUCGAUACUGGGAAGCUAGAGUAUGGGAGAGGAUGGUAGAAUUCCAGGUGUAGCGGUGAAAUGCGUAGAGAUCUGGAGGAAUACCGAUGGCGAAGGCAGCCAUCUGGCCUAAUACUGACGCUGAGGUACGAAAGCAUGGGGAGCAAACAGGAUUAGAUACCCCCGUAGUCCCUGUCUCUUAUAC